Molecule: long non-coding RNA, 1300 nt
Organism: Alexandromys fortis (reed vole)
Lineage: Eukaryota; Metazoa; Chordata; Mammalia; Rodentia; Cricetidae
Exons: 3
Source: RefSeq, a predicted model, not a curated record
UCCACAUCACUCUGGAAGAAAAAUAGGUUAGAGGACGUGUGUGUUCACGGCCUGUGUGUGGUGUUCUGCGCAUAGUCUUCUCAGUCACCCUGGCGAGCGGCCUGCCUUCAAAUGGCUCUGCUGGGGCCUGACCCAGCACUCUGCAUGUGGUCCAUGCUCGUAUUUAAGAGGAAAAUCACGGGCCUGGGGAGAUGGUGCCGCUGACAAAGUACCUGCCAGGCGAACACAGAACCUGAGUUCAGAAAGCCAGCUCCCACAUAAGAAGCCAGGAACGGACCUGUCACCCCAGCUGGGGACAGGGAUAGCUGGCGCAGACAAAAUCCCAAGAAAACAUCAAACGGCAAGCAGAAGAGGGAGAGCAAAGCCUUUGUGGUGUUCCUGUCUGAGGCUUAAGGGAGCCGCCAGGAGACCCAAGCAGAGCCACAGAACAGGUGAAGGUCUACAUUUGAUUCUCAGGACACCUAUAUCCUGUCUCAGCCACUCACAGGCUGUGUGACCUGAAGCAAGUUCCUUCGCCCCUCUGAACACCCUUAGGAAAAAGAAAUGUCCUCUUGUCCAUCCCAGUGCUCUGAUGACUGGAAACAGCUGCUGGUUCACUUGUUCGGGGCCUACUAAGUUUCCAGCUGGGGACCCCAGACCUGAUCUUGGUCUGUCCCAGCCCUGUCUACAAGCAAUGCUAUUGGAUACCAGGUAUAAGUCGGCUUCCAUCACUAGUAAAGAUACCUCGGAUGACUGUGCCAACUUACUAGGGUCUCCAGGACUCUGGCAACUCCAGAUAUACCUGUAAGUUGUUAUCUAGAUUAGGGCUAGGCUCUGGGAAGGUCCAUGGGGAUCAUCUUAUUUUGAGGCUGGCGAGACUGCUCCCCGGGUCCUGGACCGUGUAAAUCGGAGAAAGUGAGCUGAGCCAUUCCUCCCCUUCUGCUUCUCAAUCAAGACUGCAACCUAAGCAGCUGCUUCAAGCUGUUGCCUCCUCUGUGUCCCCCUCCUCCCUUAAAUUGCUUUGUAGGGGGUUUUAUUAUGGCAACAGAAGGAGCAACUGUGCUCCUGAGGUUUUGUCAACUGAUACAAACUAACUAGAACCAUCUUGCAAGAGGAACUUGUGUUGCUACUGCCUCCAUCAGCUUGGUCUGCAGGCGAGUCUAUGGGCGGUUUCCUUGAUUGUUUAAUGGAGGAGGAGGGCUCAGCCAACUGUGCUGGUUCCAUCCCUAGGCAGGUAAUCCUGGGUUGUAAAAAAAAAAAAAAAAACAAACGAACAGGGUUUUUGAGCAAGCCAAUAAGCAGCACCCUUUCAUGGCCUCUG